UUGGAGGGCAGUCUGGUGCAGCAGCCGCGGUAAUUCCAGCUCCAAUAGCGUAUAUUAAAGUUGUUGCAGUUAAAAAGCUCGUAGUUGAAUUUCGGGAUUCAUCCGUUGGUCGGGCUUCACGGUCCGUACUGGUGUGAUGGGUUCCUACCUUCUGAAUAACCGGCAUGCCAUUAAUUUGGUGCGCCGGGGAAGCAGAACUAUUACCUUGAAAAAAUUAGAGUGCUUAAAGCAGGCAAGUGCCUGAAUAGGUUAGCAUGGAAUAAUAAAAUAGGACGGCAUGGUUCUAUUUUGUUGGUUUCUAGGAUCACCGUAAUGAUUAAUAGGGAUAGUUGGGGGCAUUAGUAUUCAAUUGUCAGAGGUGAAAUUCUUGGAUUUAUUGAAGACUAACUUCUGCGAAAGCAUUUGCCAAGGAUGUUUUCAUUAAUCAAGAACGAAAGUUAGGGGAUCGAAGACGAUCAGAUACCGUCGUAGUCUUAACCAUAAACUAUGCCGACUAGGGAUCGGACGAUGUUAAUUUUCUAAUGACUCGUUCGGCGCCUUACGGGAAAC
This 549-nucleotide ribosomal RNA is filed under the name uncultured Glomeromycotina. RNAcentral describes it as "SSU rRNA". It matches the Rfam family "Eukaryotic small subunit ribosomal RNA", at positions 548 to 1098 of the family's 1831-position model. The record is from RNAcentral. Lineage: Eukaryota; Fungi; Glomeromycota.